AAAGAUACAAUUUGUUAGACUUGAAAACAAAGCAAUAAAGGCAUUAAUAGCAAACAAAGGGAGAGCAUCAUGAUUUUAUAACUUUCAUAUGCAGACACAAUUGCUUCCAAAUAAUUCAAAUGCUAAGAAAGAAGUAAAUAUUUUCCCUUCUGAUAAUUAUUAUUAUAGCCAUAAAAUGUAUACCAAAUCAAGACUCAACAUCACAAAUAGACAUAAAACUCUUCCAGCCUAGAAUUUGAAAUAAAUUCUUAAUGUUAGAAUUUAUGCCUGCAUGCGUGCAUAAGUGGGUGCAGAAGGCCUAUGAGCAAGCAGCAGUAUGAUAACAAGAUUAAUUACAUUCAUGUGACUGGAGCUCAAACCAUAUAUCUUAGAUAUGUAAUUCAAGCACUUGAGUUUCAAGAACUUGAGUUUUAACCUUCUGACAUCAAUAUUAACUGUGUUUGUAUCAUUAUGCAUAACUAUAUGGUUACUCUUUGUUGACCAA
RNAcentral lists this unclassified non-coding RNA (484 nucleotides) under Hevea brasiliensis (rubber tree). Lineage: Eukaryota; Viridiplantae; Streptophyta; Magnoliopsida; Malpighiales; Euphorbiaceae. The record is from RNAcentral.